GGUGACUUGGCCGAGUGGUUAAGGCGGCAGUCUUAAGAUCUGCUUGCAUUUGCAAUCGUGGGUUCGAACCCCACAGUCACCA
Blyttiomyces helicus is the source of this 82-nucleotide non-coding RNA. Lineage: Eukaryota; Fungi; Chytridiomycota; Chytridiomycetes. The record is from the annotation of a GenBank genome assembly.